GGGCGUGUAGCUCAACGGUAGAGCGGACGUCUUAUACACGUCUGGUUCCUGGUUCGAAUCCAGGCACGCCUACCA
This 75-nucleotide transfer RNA is filed under the name Candidatus Parcubacteria bacterium. RNAcentral describes it as "tRNA-Ile". It matches the Rfam family "tRNA". From Rfam's summary of the family: Transfer RNA (tRNA) molecules are approximately 80 nucleotides in length. Lineage: Bacteria; Candidatus Parcubacteria. The record is from RNAcentral.